GGCGGGUGGUUGUUGUUAUG
RNAcentral lists this microRNA (20 nucleotides) under Caenorhabditis elegans. RNAcentral's name for it is "cel-miR-264". Its record names the gene cel-miR-264. The record is from miRBase by way of RNAcentral. Lineage: Eukaryota; Metazoa; Nematoda; Chromadorea; Rhabditida; Rhabditidae.